CCAGCUGCCAGCAGCGAGCGG
This 21-nucleotide microRNA is filed under the name Drosophila melanogaster (fruit fly). Its description in RNAcentral is "dme-miR-4957-3p". Lineage: Eukaryota; Metazoa; Arthropoda; Insecta; Diptera; Drosophilidae. The record is from miRBase by way of RNAcentral.